RNAcentral lists this ribosomal RNA (468 nucleotides) under uncultured bacterium. Its description in RNAcentral is "partial 16S ribosomal RNA". It matches the Rfam family "Bacterial small subunit ribosomal RNA", at positions 28 to 507 of the family's 1533-position model. The record is from RNAcentral.
GACGAACGCUGGCGGCGUGCUUAACACAUGCAAGUCGAACGGAAAGGCCCUGCUUUUGUGGGGUGCUCGAGUGGCGAACGGGUGAGUAACACGUGAGUAACAUGCCCUUGACUUUGGGAUAACUUCAGGAAACUGGGGCUCAUACCGGAUAGGAGCUCCUGCUGCAUGGUGGGGGUUGGAAAGUUUCGGCGGUUGGGGAUGGACUCGCGGCUUAUCCGCUUGAUGGUGGGGUAGUGGCUUACCAAGGCUUUGACGGGUAGCCGGCCUGAGAGGGUGACCGGCCACAUUGGGACUGAGAUACGGCCCAGACUCCUACGGGAGGCAGCAGUGGGGAAUAUUGCACAAUGGGCGGAAGCCUGAGGCAGCAACGCCGCGUGCGGGAUGACGGCCUUCGGGUUGUAAACCGCUGUCGCCUGUGACGAAGCGUGAGUGACGGUAAUGGGUAAAGAAGCACCGGCUAACUACGUG